UGGGGAAUCUUGGACAAUGGGCGCAAGCCUGAUCCAGCCAUGCCGCGUGAGUGACGAAGGCCUUAGGGUUGUAAAGCUCUUUUAGCAGGGAAGAUAAUGACGGUACCUGCAGAAUAAGCCCCGGCUAACUUCGUGCCAGCAGCCGCGGUGAUACGAAGGGGGCUAGCGUUGUUCGGAAUUACUGGGCGUAAAGCGCACGUAGGCGGAUCAUUUAGUCAGGGGUGAAAUCCCGGGGCUCAACCUCGGAACUGCCUUUGAUACUGAUGGUCUCGAGUCCGGAAGAGGUGAGUGGAAUUCCUAGUGUAGAGGUGAAAUUCGUAGAUAUUAGGAAGAACACCAGUGGCGAAGGCGGCUCACUGGUCCGGUACUGACGCUGAGGUGCGAAAGCGUGGGGAGCAAACAG
RNAcentral lists this ribosomal RNA (403 nucleotides) under Caulobacter vibrioides. Its description in RNAcentral is "partial 16S ribosomal RNA". It matches the Rfam family "Bacterial small subunit ribosomal RNA", at positions 355 to 775 of the family's 1533-position model. Lineage: Bacteria; Pseudomonadati; Pseudomonadota; Alphaproteobacteria; Caulobacterales; Caulobacteraceae. RNAcentral also lists the same sequence under 1 other name. The record is from RNAcentral.